AAUAAGUGCGAUUUUACACUAUUCACGUUUACCGUUUGUCUUAUUUAAAUUUAUUUAAAUUUUUUUUAUGAUUAGUAUUUUUAUUGUUAUUAGAUGAUAAAAUAUGAAUAAUACUUUAUGUCUGAUUAAAUAUUUUUAAAUUUUUCAUAAAUUUUUCAAAUAAGACGGACGGUCAAAUGUUGGGCACGGAUAUCCACGGCUGCACUUAUU
Oryza glumipatula is the source of this 210-nucleotide non-coding RNA. The record is from Rfam. Lineage: Eukaryota; Viridiplantae; Streptophyta; Magnoliopsida; Poales; Poaceae.